GCACUAGGGUCAGGGCAUGGAUUUUCUGAAGGUUCAGUGUUUCACCCAGUCCUGAACUUUCUCUCCGCUGAGAUCCAGAUGUGCAUCUGAAGGCUGUGGUUAGAAUCUUACAGAGGGGAGCUACAAUCAUCUGCAAGGGCAUUUGGCAUCCUACUUAUUCUCCCUUCAUUAAAGACCAAAGGACAUUGUUGGUGGGAAAAUGGUUCCUGUGGAGUUGGGGGAAGGUGACCACCUGCACCAAGAAUAGAAACGAUUCUUCCCUCUCUCUGGAUGCUGCCCUCCCAGUUCUUUGAAGCCUGGCUUUACUGCAUACUCCAACUUCAGUAUCUGAAAAUGUAUGGAAUUUCUCUCUAUUUAACUCUCAGUGGAUCUUCUUUUCAACACUUAUUUCAGUAAGUUUUUUUUUUAAUAUUUAUUUUUUAGUUGUAGUGGGACACAAUAACUUUAUUUAUUUUUAUGUGGUGCUGAGGAUCGAACCCAGGGCCCCGUACAUGUGAGGCAAGCAUUCUACUGCUGAGCCACCACUCCAGCCCCUCACAGAGAAACAGUGCCACUUCUAGUGAAAGAUAUUUGGCAUCCCAUCCAGGCCCAUGGCAUUCGAGAACCAAGAUGGCCCCCAUCUCUAGCAGGGCAGCAGAUGCACCUGUGGGAAAGCAGGUUUGGGCUGGAACAGAGCCAGAGGACAUUGUCAUGGUCUAAAGAGAAGAAAUCAAGCCAGAAGUGAGAGGCCAUGAGGUGUUUGGAUUCUGGUGAUCAUGCACAAGGGUGAUACUCCCAGCUCCCCGCCAUCACUCCCUCUGAGUAGCUUUUCUGUGUGAUCAACAGCCUUGCCUCCUGAUUAUAAAAGUUCACUGUAGAAUGUUUGGAAAAUAAAUAAGAGUAUGAAGAAUAAAAUACUUUACCAUG
Marmota monax (woodchuck) is the source of this 906-nucleotide long non-coding RNA. RefSeq lists it as uncharacterized. The transcript has 3 exons. The record is from RefSeq and is a predicted model, not a curated record. Lineage: Eukaryota; Metazoa; Chordata; Mammalia; Rodentia; Sciuridae.